Molecule: long non-coding RNA, 424 nt
Filed under: Vitis vinifera (wine grape)
Lineage: Eukaryota; Viridiplantae; Streptophyta; Magnoliopsida; Vitales; Vitaceae
Description: long non-coding RNA (VVIN_LNC006065)
Source: RNAcentral
CCUCGCAAAGUCAUACACAAGGCAGAAGAAACAGCAGAAAAAGCAGAACACGGCAUAGAAAGUGAAUCAAAGAAAGUAAAGACAGGUGAGGAAGAAGAGGUGAAGCGGGCGGAGGAAGAAGAGGUGGUAAAGAAGGAGGAAUCAUCAACUUCUGUUGAAGAAAGGGGGCUGUUUAAAGAGGGUUCAAAGAGUAGAGCGAGGCGGAAAAGCAAGCCCAGGAAGAGUAGUUAAGCCAAUCCCUAAUAUUCUCCAUUACAUGUUUAUGUAUAUAGGCUACACAAGAACACAUGAUCGAAAGCCCUCUCUCAACCUUCUGCUCUGGGUUUUGAUCCCUUUGCCGCUCACAUGCUUUUGUCGUUCCAUCGUCCUCGAUGAGGAGUGCAAAAAGAGAAAGUGGGCUUAAAGCCCACUCAAGCUUAAUCGU